RNAcentral lists this non-coding RNA (191 nucleotides) under Fictibacillus enclensis. Its description in RNAcentral is "Lysine sequence". It matches the Rfam family "Lysine riboswitch aptamer". Rfam says of the family: Riboswitches are metabolite binding domains within certain messenger RNAs that serve as precision sensors for their corresponding targets. Allosteric rearrangement of mRNA structure is mediated by ligand binding, and this results in modulation of gene expression. The record is from Rfam by way of RNAcentral. Lineage: Bacteria; Bacillati; Bacillota; Bacilli; Caryophanales; Fictibacillaceae.
AGUGAUGGUAGAGGAGCAAAAACCAAUAGUAGGCAACCGGAAGAGAAGGAGCUCUUAUGACGGUGGCUGAAAGGGGAUUUUUGCCGAAGCUUUAGGAAACUUCCUUUUUCUUAAGGCUGGACCUGCAUUGAAUAAAUGCAGGGCUGUCACACAUUCCUUGCCCGGAGGAUGUGUGGAGGACUAUCUCACAU